UGUUCUCCAGCAUUUAAAAGAUUAAUAAGAAAACAAUAUGUUUACUAACAUGAUUUUUUACUUUAAGCUCGAGCUGCAUUCUUGACAGUUGUUGCUGUUCUUCAGUUCUUCACUGCAUAUUUUAGGGAAAGAGAGAAUAAAUGUCUAACAAAACUACCAACCGAUCAUAUAAACCAUCGCUUUUAGUCUUGAGAUCUAACAACAGAGGGCGUGUAAGACACAUGAUGUAAACAUACUGAAUAGUGAUUACCUAUACAUUCAUCUGGGUUGCAAUGCAGUGACUACUGCGGCUUCAAGUCUGCCAAUCCUGGAGACCAGCUCAUUCUUCCGAAUCACACACACGCACAGACACCAUGAGAUUGGUUGUGCGUGGUGGAGAAGAUGGGCACAUGAAGAACCAGCAGAGUCUUCACCAGGAGAAGGAUGUGUGCAUGGAAUGCACGAUCUCUGGC
This 452-nucleotide long non-coding RNA is filed under the name Musa acuminata (dwarf banana). RNAcentral's name for it is "long non-coding RNA (MACU_LNC005191)". Lineage: Eukaryota; Viridiplantae; Streptophyta; Magnoliopsida; Zingiberales; Musaceae. The record is from RNAcentral.